GAUUACACGAUAUCGGCGCUCGUGCGCGUCGUUUACGAGCGUGUGCCGCAGGACGGUCGCCCGAGUUGGAAGGACAGCGGUUUUAAAAUAAGCUCACGAGAGUCCCAGCGCUCUGCCAAUGCCUAUCGGUCCAACCAGUCGGUGCGCGCUCUCCUUUUCAGCAGUCGUUGAUCGUGCACCGUGCUCGCAACAACCGUCGUCGUCGUAGUCUUCGUCGUCCGGCCACUUGUCGUCACCGUACCAGUUGUCGUCGUUGUUCUGACUCGCGCGCCAGCUCAGAGAAAACCGGACGCGUUAACCGAGCGUCCUCGUUGCUGUACGUGUCGCGCGCGGCUACUAGUGCAACGAUCUUCUCUUCUAUCUUCUAUCCAACCGAUAUUUCGGUUCUCCGCCGAGAGUAAUUACCGUACGAUAAAGAACACAGCAAAGCAAACGGUUCGUACAACAGUACAGAGAGAACGAAAUAGAAGUUGAAGUUAAAUCCGACCGAGCGUGUGUUUGUGUACCAGGUGACACGUGGUGCCGGUCGGUCGUGUCCGCCGGCGAUGCUCGUCACGGAUUCGCACGGGUUCCACGCGAAUGAUUUAUUAUAGAGUUCACGGGUACGCGGGUGUAUCGCGUAGUCGCGUUUGACAGCGCGUCGCGUUACGCGGCUACCUGUGCUCGCUGUGCAUACGAUACACGGUUGCAGAGAAGGUGAUUUCCUUGAAAGGAUACUCCCGUGUCAGCUACGAAGGAACGCGUACCGAACGCAAGAGUAAAAAUAGGAGGAAACUGCGGUGAACGAUGGCCGAUUGAAAAAAGCAUCGCCGAUCGAGAAAGCCAAGAAUCAACGACGGUGAAGCGUAUUCCACGCGUGGUCCGUUUCUUAUUCGUUUACGAUCCUGACACAAGUGCAUCUAUUUG
Bombus pyrosoma is the source of this 906-nucleotide RNA transcript. RefSeq lists it as uncharacterized. The record is from RefSeq and is a predicted model, not a curated record. Lineage: Eukaryota; Metazoa; Arthropoda; Insecta; Hymenoptera; Apidae. The transcript has 2 exons.